AAAGUGGUGUAGUGGAAGCACCAAGAGUUUUGAUCUCUUGAGGAUGGGUUCGAGUCCCUUCUCUCUAGAAUUGAGGGG
This 78-nucleotide transfer RNA is filed under the name Coregonus lavaretus (common whitefish). RNAcentral describes it as "partial tRNA-Gln". The stretch from base 1 to 68 matches the Rfam family "tRNA". From Rfam's summary of the family: Transfer RNA (tRNA) molecules are approximately 80 nucleotides in length. Their secondary structure includes four short double-helical elements and three loops (D, anti-codon, and T loops). Lineage: Eukaryota; Metazoa; Chordata; Actinopteri; Salmoniformes; Salmonidae. The record is from RNAcentral.